AUUGAACGCUGGCGGCAGGCUUAACACAUGCAAGUCGAGCGGGGUGAUGGUGCUUGCACUAUCACUUAGCGGCGGACGGGUGAGUAAUGCUUAGGAAUCUGCCUAUUGGUGGGGGACAACAUCUCGAAAGGGAUGCUAAUACCGCAUACGUCCUACGGGAGAAAGCAGGGGAUCACUUGUGACCUUGCGCUAAUAGAUGAGCCUAAGUCGGAUUAGCUAGUUGGUGGGGUAAAGGCCUACCAAGGCGACGAUCUAUAGCGGGUCUGAGAGGAUGGUCCGCCACGCUGGGACUGAGACACGGCCCAGACUCCUACGGGAGGCAGCAGUGGGGAAUAUUGGACAAUGGGGGGAACCCUGAUCCAGCCAUGCCGCGUGUGUGAAGAAGGCCUUAUGGUUGUAAAGCACUUUAAGCGAGGAGGAGGCUCUUUUGGUUAAUACCCAAGAUGAGUGGACGUUACUCGCAGAAUAAGCACCGGCUAACUCUGUGCCAGCCGCCGCCGUAA
Molecule: ribosomal RNA, 503 nt
Filed under: uncultured bacterium
Lineage: Bacteria
Description: partial 16S ribosomal RNA
Rfam family: Bacterial small subunit ribosomal RNA
Source: RNAcentral